UGUGCUUUGGAAUUGAACUGAAUUCAUUUUUAAAGAUGUUUUGGGAGAAACAGCAGCUGCUCUGCAGCCGCGUCACCAGACUCAACCACAGGGUCCGGGUCAGGCCUGGGUCCGGGUCCAGGUCGGGCCCGGGUCGGGUCCAGAGCGGGCCCGGGUCGGGUCCAGAGCGGGCCUGGGUCCGGGCCUGGUCUGGGUCCAGGUCGGGCCCGGGUCGGGUCCAGAGCGGGCCUGGGUCCGGGCCUGGUCUGGGUCCAGAGCGGGCCUGGGUCCGGUCCAAGUCGGUUCCAGAGCGGGUCGGGUCCGGUCUACAGCGGUACCUGCUGGCUGUUUCUGAACACAGGAAUAAAAUGAUCUCAAUCAUCAGAAGCAGGAAAUAAAAUCUGUUACCUGAAAUCCUGCAGCAGCGUCAGUCACUGUGUUUCCGUCACAAAUCUAUUUCACUAAUGUCAAAUAAACUACUUCCUGUCUUCUUCUUCUUCGUAGUUUCCUCCAGAAGUCACUUCCUGUUGGUCAUGUGACUCAUGAUGUGGAAAAUGUUUCCUCCCAACUGAUUUAUUAAAAAUUUACAAAGAAACUACAAAACAUCUGCUGAGGUUUAACCUACAGGCAACAUGGUGAAACACACACACACACACACAAAGACACACACACACACACACACACACACACACCCUCUGAAGUGAAAUCAGCAUGAUGG
Molecule: long non-coding RNA, 697 nt
Organism: Poecilia latipinna (sailfin molly)
Lineage: Eukaryota; Metazoa; Chordata; Actinopteri; Cyprinodontiformes; Poeciliidae
Exons: 3
Source: RefSeq, a predicted model, not a curated record